UACCUCUACCACGUGACUACCUUCCCGGGCUUCACACACAUGCACUUUUUUCUACACUUUGACACUCUUAAUGCUAAUGCAUCAGAAGCUGCAGUGUUUGCUUUCUCAAUGAAGCCAUGCUAUAUCAGAAAAAUCCAUGUAUGCUAGAUAUCAUUUCCUUGAUGGUUGAAUGACUGCAGCACCAGAUUUCCCUCUGGUAAUGUUUGUAGAAGUCUCUAGGGCAGCACAGGGUAGGGUGCUACAACCUCAGAGGCCAUGCCUUCGGCACACAGCAGUGUGAAGCUUAGAUGCACAGCAAGAAAUAGGGUUGUUCUGAAUUAAAUUUACAGCAUCCAACAUGCAUCUGGCCAAGAGUAGACGACAAAACACCCCUUGGUAUUGCUUUGUUAUGGCAAAUUGGUGGGUGUUAGAAACAUUUAGUGGUGGGAUGUAUGGUAUGUUCUGGACACCAUCUAUUCUGGUUUGCAGGCAUGGAAUUGCAGAAGAGCCUACAUCACUGCAAUGCUUGACCCACAUCACUUGCCUUGUUCUGCCUCAAGACCUCGUGAACAUAAGGAAUGAAGUACGAUGAAUGCUGCCCAACAACUCCAGAAAACAGGAAAUGGAUGAACCAAAUAUAGUGCUCGGGUUGCAAUGUCAGGCAGCCAGGUGACAGGUAUUGGAGUUCGCCGGAAUGCAGUUGUCGGGGACCUUGGAUCAAACUCUACAUCAGCUGCUUCUGCUGAGCCAUCCAACAUCACUGCAUCCUCCAUCUGCAGAGAAGUCAAAAGAGAAGAGAUUUCACAACUGGUUUGCAAACAUGAACUUAUUGGAAGACACCCGUGCACUGGUGAAAUGUUAGAAGCAGCAAAGAGAGGUACAAGUUAUGUUGUGGAGAGGACAGGCAAUGUAACUGACUGUAGGCUUGAAUUACAAUGACACACGAAAAAGUGCCACCAAAGAAACAUCUAGUAUUGCCUGAUUUUGUGCUGCUGCAUUAUGCCAGAGAAGCACACUUCUAAACAAGCUCUCUAAAAAUGUGAGGACAUAGAAAUAGCACAAGCUCCUUCUGUGCUAUGAUUAGUGUUCAGUGAAUUGUACACAACUCUAUUUAUUCUUGAUGCGAGCACAUAUGAAAACAGGAACUUAAAUAGCAAGCUGAUUUGUGGAGAUGAUUUUACAGAUUUCCAGACAUUUGUAGACCACAAUUGCCCAAAAUGCUCCUGCUCUAAAUAAAUAAAAGUUGUAUGAACCAUUUUUACCAUUAAACAGAAUAUUAUAACGCCUAGCGA
Dermacentor andersoni is the source of this 1271-nucleotide long non-coding RNA. RefSeq lists it as uncharacterized. The record is from RefSeq and is a predicted model, not a curated record. NCBI's taxonomy places the organism in Eukaryota, Metazoa, Arthropoda, Arachnida, Ixodida, Ixodidae.